Molecule: long non-coding RNA, 328 nt
Organism: Acomys russatus (golden spiny mouse)
Lineage: Eukaryota; Metazoa; Chordata; Mammalia; Rodentia; Muridae
Exons: 2
Source: RefSeq, a predicted model, not a curated record
UGAUGAAGACAGUCCCUUAAGGGCAGAGGGAGAGACUGUUGAUUUACUGGAUAUGCAAGAAAUAACUCUUCUAUGGCAGCACCUAAAAGGUGAUCAUUGAGGGGUGGGUAUUGGAAAAGUAGACCAAAAGGGUAAAAACACUGGUGGGCCGUGUAAAGCCUCAGUAUCCACAUGGCCUUUUAAAAUUGGAGGUAGGCUGGGUAGCAAAUACCUUUAAUCCCAGCACUCAGGAGGCAGAGAAAUGCAGAUUUGAGGCCAGCCUGAUCUACAGAGUGAGUUCCAGGACAGGUAGGGAAAUCUGCCCCUCUACCCCACUUCCCAGGGAAGG